RNAcentral lists this ribosomal RNA (253 nucleotides) under uncultured bacterium. Its description in RNAcentral is "partial 16S ribosomal RNA". It matches the Rfam family "Bacterial small subunit ribosomal RNA", at positions 524 to 776 of the family's 1533-position model. The record is from RNAcentral.
UACGUAGGUGGCAAGCGUUAUCCGGAUUUACUGGGUGUAAAGGGCGUGUAGGCGGGAGUGCAAGUCAGAUGUGAAAACUAUGGGCUCAACCCAUAGCCUGCAUUUGAAACUGUACUUCUUGAGUGCUGGAGAGGCAAUCGGAAUUCCGUGUGUAGCGGUGAAAUGCGUAGAUAUACGGAGGAACACCAGUGGCGAAGGCGGAUUGCUGGACAGUAACUGACGCUGAGGCGCGAAAGCGUGGGGAGCGAACAGG